This 484-nucleotide ribosomal RNA is filed under the name uncultured bacterium. RNAcentral's name for it is "partial 16S ribosomal RNA". It matches the Rfam family "Bacterial small subunit ribosomal RNA", at positions 30 to 507 of the family's 1533-position model. The record is from RNAcentral.
AUUGAACGCUGGCGGCAGGCCUAACACAUGCAAGUCGAGCGGAUGCAGGGAGCUUGCUCCUGGAUUCAUCGGCGGACGGGUGAGUAAUGCCUAGGAAUCUGCCUGGUAGUGGGGGAUAACGUCCGGAAACGGGCGCUAAUACCGCAUACGUCCUGAGGGAGCAAGUGGGGGAUCUUCGGACCUCACGCUAUCAGAUGAGCCUAGGUCGGAUUAGCUAGUUGGUGGGGUAAAGGCCUACCAAGGCGACGAUCCGUAACUGGUCUGAGAGGAUGAUCAGUCACACUGGAACUGAGACACGGUCCAGACUCCUACGGGAGGCAGCAGUGGGGAAUAUUGGACAAUGGGCGAAAGCCUGAUCCAGCCAUGCCGCGUGUGUGAAGAAGGUCUUCGGAUUGUAAAGCACUUUAAGUUGGGAGGAAGGGCAGUAAGUUAAUACCUUGCUGUUUUGACGUUACCAACAGAAUAAGCACCGGCUAACUUCGUG